Molecule: ribosomal RNA, 489 nt
Filed under: uncultured bacterium
Lineage: Bacteria
Description: partial 16S ribosomal RNA
Rfam family: Bacterial small subunit ribosomal RNA
Source: RNAcentral
ACGAACGCUGGCGGCGUGCUUAACCCAUGCCAGUCGAACGGAAAGGCCCCCAUCUUGGUGGGGGUGCUCGAGUGGCGAACGGGUGAGUAACACGUGGGUGAUCUGCCCUGUACUUCGGGAUAAGCUUGGGAAACUGGGUCUAAUACCGGAUAGGACCAUGGUUUAGUGUCUCAUGGUGGAAAGAUUAUUGUUUUGGUGCAGGAUGAGCUCGCGGCCUAUCAGCUUGUUGGUGGGGUAAUGGCCUACCAAGGCGUCGACGGGUAGCCGGCCUGAGAGGGUGGACGGCCAAAUUGGGACUGAGAUACGGCCCAGACUCCUAAGGGAGGCAGCAGGGGGGAAUAUUGGACAAUGGGCGCAAGGCUGAUGCAGCGACGCCGCGUGGGGGAUGACGGCCUUCGGGUUGUAAACUCCUUUCGUUAGGGACGAAGCCGCACUUUUUUUUGGGUGUGGUGACGGUACCUUUGUUAAGAAGCACCGGCUAACUACGUG